AGAAAGGGAGGUUGCGGCUCGAGCUAUUUUAACCUCUGAGCCACAACCUUCCUCAGGGUGCGAGCUGAGAUUUUCAAGUAUCUCUGGAAAGGGUGUGCAACAGGGCGUAAAAAGCGGAAGCUGCGUGGGGAAGAUUCGAACCCAAAAGGCGCAGAGACUGUGGUGCUAAGGGCCACAUCUUAUCCCCAGCACCAGAGCCUCCCGCUAGCACAGCUGCAAGAAAUCGCCCCCGUCAGCGUUAGUUCUUUCCACUAGACCAACGCUGGCAGGGGGAUGGUGAAGCAGAAGUGAGAGAGGUCUUAUCUGUGUCACAGGCAACGGAAGGGCGCGAACCCCAAUCGGCUAUAAAAAAUGACUGAGCGACACGCAGAAGCGACAAUCUCUCUGCGCUACACUCAGUCAUGCACUCAGAGAGGCUCAGGGUAGAGCUGUGUUCGAACUCGGUGCUGGCAGCAAGAAGAGGCUUGUGAUGGUACACUGACUAUUCCACUAAGCCAGUGCCCCACCACAGCCUG
RNAcentral lists this long non-coding RNA (515 nucleotides) under Bovine leukemia virus. RNAcentral's name for it is "partial AS1". Lineage: Riboviria; Pararnavirae; Artverviricota; Revtraviricetes; Ortervirales; Retroviridae. The record is from RNAcentral.